UACGUAGGUGGCAAGCGAUACUCGGAAUCACUAGGCGUAAAGCGCAGGUAGGCGGUUUGGUAAGUCUUUUGUGAAAGCUCCCGGCUCAACUGGGAGAUGUCAAGGGAAACUACCGGACUAGAGUGUGGUAGGGGAUACUGGAAUUCCUGGUGUAGCGGUGAAAUGCGUAGAUAUCGGAAGGAACAUCAGUGGCGAAAGCGGCUUCCUGGACCAGCACCGACGUUCAGGCACGAAAGCGUGGGGAGCAAACAGG
Molecule: ribosomal RNA, 253 nt
Filed under: uncultured prokaryote
Description: partial 16S ribosomal RNA
Rfam family: Bacterial small subunit ribosomal RNA
Source: RNAcentral